RNAcentral lists this ribosomal RNA (383 nucleotides) under uncultured Alphaproteobacteria bacterium. Its description in RNAcentral is "bacterial SSU rRNA". It matches the Rfam family "Bacterial small subunit ribosomal RNA", at positions 524 to 910 of the family's 1533-position model. Lineage: Bacteria; Pseudomonadati; Pseudomonadota; Alphaproteobacteria. The record is from RNAcentral.
UACGGAAGGGGCUAGCGUUGUUCGGAAUUACUGGGCGUAAAGCGCGCGUAGGCCGUUGAGUUAGUUAAUUGUGAAAUCCCAAAGCUUAACUUUGGAACUGCAAUUAAAACUGCUCGACUAGAGUUUGAUAGAGGAAAGGGAAUACAUAGUGUAGAGGUGAAAUUCGUAGAUAUUAUGUAGAACACCAGUUGCGAAGGCGGCUUUCUGGAUCAACACUGACGCUGAGGCGCGAAAGUAUGGGUAGCAAAGAGGAUUAGAUACCCUCGUAGUCCAUACCAUAAACGAUGAUUGCUAGAUGUUGGAAAUUUAUUUUCAGUAUCGCAGCUAACGCAUUAAGCAAUCCGCCUGGGGAGUACGACCGCAAGGUUAAAACUCAAAGGAAU